Branchiostoma floridae (Florida lancelet) is the source of this 1283-nucleotide long non-coding RNA. RefSeq lists it as uncharacterized. The record is from RefSeq and is a predicted model, not a curated record. Lineage: Eukaryota; Metazoa; Chordata; Leptocardii; Amphioxiformes; Branchiostomatidae. The transcript is spliced from 3 exons.
GUCUUAUGGGGUGUGAAAUGGAAACAUAUUGCAGAGAUGGGCUGGGACUAACUUGUCAUCGGCAUGAUAGGAAGUAAAUAAUUUGUGAGGUUACUUUAACUUUAAAAAAUCUCUUGGUUGAUGGUAAGGUGCUUGAGUGUGUUUUGUUGACAUCUCGAGUGAUGAUGCAGGUAGGGGUUUAUAUCAGGACAUUUUGUAAAUGGAGGCUCCUUUUGCACUCAGGGCUUCAGUCCGUUUCUGUGUUGUACAGGCCUGGUGUGUGGCUGAUUUGGUUUCUGUGACUGUGUCGAUGGCCGGGAUGGUAGUCGGCCAGUUACUGUGAAUUCUGUUUUUUUUUAAAAAGGGUCUUCCCUGGUUCACCAUCUGUUGUCAUUUCUGUUUUAUGUCGUGGUCAGUGGUUGUCGGGAACCUAGACCAUUACAUAAUCUGCCUUGUGUCGUUAUCUUGGGUCCCGAACCAAGAGAACGACACAGGCCAGAAAGGAAAACAGGUGGCUGAAGAGCCUACUUAAUAUCAAUAGUAAAAUUUGCUUCAUUUAGAAGCACUAGACUUCUCGGCGUCGACACAGUUACAGAAACCGAAUCAGCUAUUCAAUGGGCUUGUAUAAAGCAGAAACAGACUGAAGCCAUUGCUCUCAAAAUUGUAACCAAAACAAACGGCAGCAUUACUUGGAAUUUCAGCAAAGCGCACUCUUGUGCUUUCCAUCAUUCAAGAGAUCAUGAUUAUUCCCGCUAUUUCUAUGUUAAACCAAGAACUGAAAUUACAAUCACAGAUCAAGUUAACUUCCUGUCAUGCCUCAUUCACAUACUUAAGCUUACCGUAAGUAUUAGGUAUAGUCUUUACCAUAUUUCUUGGUGAAGUUUCAUUUUUGUCUCGUCUUUUAUGCUGAGGAUCGUCGUACCGUAAGAAGAAAUGUCUGGACGCGGAAAGGGUGGCUAGGGCUGGCGAAGGAAGGUGCCGAACGUGAACGAUUCGCAGUCUUCCCACACAUAUGACAAGAAAUGACUGAACGUGGAAAGCAAGGAACGGAGUUGGAUAAUGGACGUGUAAAGCGCCACCGUUACUGAAAGUGCUUCGUGACAACAUCCGGUGCAUCACCAAGGCACGAGUCUUUCCGAGACACAGACAAGCAAGGCCUGCCGGGAAAAUGGGCAAAGGAGGUGCCAGGCAUCCGAGGAGACAGUGGUCCUGGCGGAAGGCGUCUUGGUGCCACUUCCCAUAGUUGGAUUCGUUGAAAGUGACGUCUUCAUCAGCUUCUUGAGAAGACAUUUCAUAACUGGAUG